RNA transcript from Vespa crabro (European hornet), 3860 nucleotides. RefSeq lists it as uncharacterized. The transcript has 7 exons. NCBI's taxonomy places the organism in Eukaryota, Metazoa, Arthropoda, Insecta, Hymenoptera, Vespidae. The record is from RefSeq and is a predicted model, not a curated record.
CCUUACCCCGCUAGAUUCUGCAGCACGAGUCGACAAAGUACGACAACGUACGAGUCGUUUGUGUGCAGUAUGCACCGGGCACUUGCGCGUCGACUCCCGCGCCCAUCUCCAGCGCCUCAUCGACUCCAGCUCGAAUCUCGCGUGUAAAAGAGAGUCACCGAGAUUCGAUCGUGGAGUAAGGAUAGAAUUCAUUCCGUGACGACUUUUUCCUUUUCUUUUCCGUCCUUGAAAUUUGUUUGUGAAAAUUCUCGUUACCAGAGAUACGCACGGUCCUUUUUUUUGUUCACCUCCCUGUCUAUUUGUCUGUUUGCCUGCCUCUCUCUCUUCCUCUUUCUCUCUCUCUCUCUCUUCCUCUUUCUCUCUCUCUCUCUCUCUCUCUCUCUUUUUAUCUAUCGUGAUCGGUGGUGAAAGAGUGUGAUUGAAGGUGUUGCUGGCGUAGAUGGUGUUGUUGCCGGUGUUAGCACCGGUGGUGCGUUAGUUAUGAUUAUGGUUACAGUGGCGGUGUCAUCGGUGGUGGGUGGUGCUCCUCUCAACGUGCAAAAACCGGGAAUUGGUAUAUAGUUCGAGCACACUAUGCUGCCGUCGAAUCGGACAACGUUCUUAAGAUUGUUACUGUGAUGCUUGACCUACUGGCGGAUGAUUAUGGAGAUAGCCGAUGUCGGAGGUGGGCAGGUACGAACAGGACUGAUCUUCCUCUUCCUUAUAUCGGUGAUCCUGAUCAAGAGGACUACUGGUUCGAACGGCGGCACCUGCGGCCUUGCGGAAUUGACUUGUCGAGACGGGCAUUGCGUACCAAUUGAUGCAUAUUGCAAUGGUAAAAAUGAUUGCGGGGAUGGCAGCGACGAGCCAACGCUUUGUACUCCAUGCAACCGCACCUAUCACGGCCAGGAGGGUCGUACCUAUCAUUUGGAGCUUUCUAGACCAGCCGAAACGCGUCUUCCUUUUCUAUGUCACCUGACCUUCACUGCGGCUGGUCGAGGUUACGGUGAACUCGUUCAACUACUUUGGGAUUCCUUCAGCGUAGGACGUCUCGAGCCAAACGCCGAAUAUCUAUCGGCUAGCUGUCCCGAAGGAUCUUUGCAAUUGGCCGAAUUGGGUAGACACUUUACAGGUGGAUUUUGGUGUGGCGCCGGUGAAAAUCGUGCGACUUAUUACAGCGAGACCAGUACGGUCACUGCCUCGAUUCGUCUAUUUCACGCACCACCCUCCGUUCCCUUUGAUUUCCGUCUUAGAUAUCGUUUCGUUUCUCGAAACGACGCUGUGGCACGUCUAGGAAAGCCGGAUUAUCCAAUCGAGAGGGGCUCGCCCGUUCCAGGAACCUACUGCUCCAGAAACUUUUACGAGUGCCACUUGAAACAAUGUCGUCUCCAAAGCCCAAAUUAUCCAGGAGAAUAUCCAAGAAAUGCGAGCUGUAUGAUUACGCUCCGUCAAAAGGAGGUACCAACUUGCAAACAUGCUAUGAUAUCCGUUAAAAACAGUCCAACCGGCCCAACUGGAUUAACCAGCUCCAAUGCGUCGCUCAGCAUUUGGCAGGAUUGCACGCCUGAAAAAGAUCGACUAAUCUUUCACGACGGCUUGCGCACCGAAGAUCCAAUACUUUUGAUCUAUUGUGGUGGUCCUUUACCAAGAGUUAUCGCCAGAGGACCAAAUAUGCUCGUUGAGUUUAGAAGUUCACCGAUUGCCAUUCCUUUAGGAGCGUCGGCAUUGAGACUCGAAUUGGAAGUUCAAGUUAUCUAUGUGGAUUCAGAUGGUUUGGAUUAUGCCAGGAACUCCGAAGGAUGUCAUUUCUUUGUCAAUGGUACAGCCAAAAGGAGUGGUACGUUAAGAGCUCCGCUUCACGCACUACCACCAAGUUCUAGUUGCACGUGGAACAUCAAAGGAUCAGCUGGUGAUCGCGUAUGGAUAUAUUUCUCAUCCUAUUCUCAAAGGGAUUUAACAACGAGUACGGAAAAUAAUGCUAGCACGCAAUCGGAUUCAUUGUGCGGAGUUAAAUUAUUAUUUUGGGAUGGAUCUCCGUUAACUGGACUUCCUAUGGUCACGCUUUGCGACAGUACACCUAAACUUUGUGCACAUGCGGCCCUUAGAAAUGCUACGAGAAGUACUAGACCUUGCACAGCGGAUGAAAGUUAUCUCACGAUUGCACCUAGCUUAACAUUACGAAUGGAAACCGUACUUGGAACUGCUCUUCACAAUGUCAACUUUCAGGCUCAAUACGAAUUCAUUUCAACGAUUCAAGUUGGUGAACCAUGGGGAGACGGUGUUUGUAGCAGAGUUUGGCGUAAAGUUCGAAGCGGUGAUGUGACGUCACCACGGGAUGUACGGCUUUACGGUAGAGGUGGUUCCUCCAAAUUGGAUUGCAAAUAUAGAAUAGAAGCUGGAGUAGGCGAAAGAGUUAGAUUCACGUUGCACAACGUUAGCCUCGGGGAAGCAACGUCCUGUAUCAGCGAACCGGACCCACAUACUGGUAGACCACGUUGCGUACACGAGAUCGGUUCAAGAGAGGCUCGAUUGGUUCUUUACGAGGCACCGUGGCGUGAUGUCAAAUUACCUAGAGCUUGUCUUUGCGAUAACACGUCUAAUCUUCCGUUGACCCAUAUCUCAGCUGGAAGAGCACUUGAGAUUACGUUCCUGGUAGAUCAGCAGGCACCUCACGAAGACUUCGAGACUCUCUUCUUUUACGCCAGUUUCGAGUUGGUGCGUUCACCGGAGUGCCCGAGAAAACAGAGAGUUCGUGGCGAAGGUGGCGAGUUAAGAUUCGUUGCUCCGCCCUUAUCAAGGCCGGACAUCUAUUGCGAGGGUCUUCCAUGGUUAGUCGAGGCUAGAGAAAAUAGAUCGUUAUUUGUAUUAACUUGGGGUUGGUUCAUGCCGUUAGAACCAGGACCGGUAUCAGAAUCGAGCGACGCCAUUAAAUGUCCAACAUCUAACAGGAUAUUAUUGUAUUCCGGUUGGCCACCAAGAUUGUUGAAAGUGGUUUGUCCAGCUGAACCCGGUGCCAGGGAGUUUACAGUUCAUGUGUUUUCUGAAGAAUGGUUAGGCGGAGAGGAAGGGAAAUGGCCUGGGCCACCAAGGCCACCUGCACUUUUAUUGGAUUUUGUUGCCAGAGAAUCCGGUCAAGCUGCAGCCUCUUGGUUGGAAAUAUCUAAGAGCAGAGCUGCUUUACGCAGACAGUUACGUCUUCCAGAAAGAGGACCAGAGAACGAGACCGUAUCUCAGGGAGAUUGUCCGCACAAAUGUCCCGAACUUGGUGCUUGCAUCGCUGCCAGUCUUUGGUGCGACGGCAGGCCACACUGCCCGUCCGGUCAUGACGAGGCCAAUUGCGGAAGCGGCGCUAGAUUAUUAGGGUUAUUGCCGCCGGCUUUAUGGCUCGUCGUUGCCGGAGUUACCGGAAUUGUCACUGCCUUUGCGUGCCUCUUCGCCAUACUAAUCAGCAGGUCCAGGUUACGCGCGAAACGACUUCGUUAUAAGGGAACGAUGAAGAAUAGCAAGCCGAGACGGGCGCCGACGGAAGAGACACUUUUGGGUGCGGCAUCCUGACAUCAGCAGCCCGGUUUCGUGGAAUAUAUUCACGUUGACCGGGAAACUACCAUGACCACUUUAUGUCGUAACAUUUCGCAAAUACGAUCUUAAAAUGUUCUUCUUGUCAUAUUUAACAUGACUAUAACAUGACUAUCAAUUGGAAGAUAAGUAUGAUAUAACACUUAAUAUAGUUAAGAGAUCUAUGCAAUAACCUAUGAUGACAACGAAUUUAAAAUGGAUGAUGGAUGAAUGUGAUAUAACUUCUUAAUUGGCGUUUGAAAAAUCUUUUUUUCGGCCUUUCAUGUCAAACUUUGUUUCUUUUUUCUUUCUUUUUUUUUUUUCAU